RNAcentral lists this ribosomal RNA (253 nucleotides) under uncultured bacterium. RNAcentral's name for it is "partial 16S ribosomal RNA". It matches the Rfam family "Bacterial small subunit ribosomal RNA", at positions 524 to 776 of the family's 1533-position model. The record is from RNAcentral.
UACGUAGGGUCCGAGCGUUGUCCGGAAUUACUGGGCGUAAAGAGCUUGUAGGCGGUUUGUCGCGUCUGCCGUGAAAAUUCGAGGCUCAACCUCGAACUUGCGGUGGGUACGGGCAGACUAGAGUGUGGUAGGGGAGACUGGAAUUCCUGGUGUAGCGGUGAAAUGCGCAGAUAUCAGGAGGAACACCGAUGGCGAAGGCAGGUCUCUGGGCCACUACUGACGCUGAGAAGCGAAAGCAUGGGGAGCGAACAGG